Molecule: ribosomal RNA, 432 nt
Filed under: Protaeolidiella atra
Lineage: Eukaryota; Metazoa; Mollusca; Gastropoda; Nudibranchia; Aeolidiidae
Description: eukaryotic LSU rRNA
Source: RNAcentral
AAAAGAACUCUGAAGAGAGGGUGCAAAAGCGCGUGAAACCGCCGAGGGGUAAACUGGCUGAGCCGAGCGACGUGUCCCGCCGGGGCGGCUAUGAUUUCCACCGGAUUUCGUUUCUUUCCGUCGGCGGAUCUCCGCGGCGGGGGAAAGAAGGACGGGGGAAGAUCGUGUCCAACCCCGGCGGGUCUCCGCCGUCACCGGCACCGGAUCGUCUCGUCGCCGCGUCUUCCCGGGGUCGUCGGCUCCGGGGCUACUGGGCGCGGAUAUCUCGAACGAGAGCGGUCGCGGGUGCCGUGGCCGACCGCGGGCAUUGCGAAGGGGGUUUCGUGUACCGGGGGGCGUUCGCGCGCUCCGACCGUUUCCUCCCCGGCCCGUCUGAAGGUGUACGGCGUUAUUCCGGUAUCUGCCCGACCCGUCUUGAAACACGGACCAAGG